Molecule: ribosomal RNA, 230 nt
Filed under: uncultured bacterium
Lineage: Bacteria
Description: partial 16S ribosomal RNA
Rfam family: Bacterial small subunit ribosomal RNA
Source: RNAcentral
AAAGCGUGCGCAGGCGGUUUUGUAAGACUGUCGUGAAAUCCCCGGGCUCAACCUGGGAAUGGCGAUGGUGACUGCAAGGCUAGAGUUUGGCAGAGGGGGGUAGAAUUCCACGUGUAGCAGUGAAAUGCGUAGAUAUGUGGAAGAACACCGAUGGCGAAGGCAGCCCCCUGGGUCAAAACUGACGCUCAUGCACGAAAGCGUGGGGAGCAAACAGGAUUAGAUACCCCGGU